This 301-nucleotide ribosomal RNA is filed under the name uncultured bacterium. RNAcentral describes it as "partial 16S ribosomal RNA". It matches the Rfam family "Bacterial small subunit ribosomal RNA", at positions 509 to 807 of the family's 1533-position model. The record is from RNAcentral.
CAGCAGCCACGGUAAUACGUAGGGUGCAAGCGUUAAUCGGAAUUACUGGGCGUAAAGCGUGCGCAGGCGGUUAUAUAAGUCAGAUGUGAAAUCCCCGGGCUCAACCUGGGAACUGCAUUUGAGACUGUAUGGCUAGAGUGUGUCAGAGGGGGGUAGAAUUCCACGUGUAGCAGUGAAAUGCGUAGAUAUGUGGAGGAAUACCGAUGGCGAAGGCAGCCCCCUGGGAUAACACUGACGCUCAUGCACGAAAGCGUGGGAAGCAAACAGGAUUAGAGACCCCUGUAGUCCCUGUCUCUUAUAC